Molecule: ribosomal RNA, 439 nt
Filed under: uncultured bacterium
Lineage: Bacteria
Description: partial 16S ribosomal RNA
Rfam family: Bacterial small subunit ribosomal RNA
Source: RNAcentral
CUACGGGGCGCAGCAGUGGGGAAUAUUGCACAAUGGGCGAAAGCCUGAUGCAGCGAUGCCGCGUGAGGGAAGAAGGUCUUCGGAUUGUAAACCUCUGUCAUAAGGGACGAUAAUGACGGUACCUUAGAAGGAAGCUCCGGCUAACUACGUGCCAGCAGCCGCGGUAAUACGUAGGGGGCAAGCGGUGUCCGGAAUUACUGGGUGCAAAGGGAGUGUAGGCGGGAUUGCAAGUCAGAUGUGAAAACUAUCGGCUCAACUGAUAGAUUGCAUUUGAAACUGCAGUUCUUGAGUGAAGUAGAGGGAAGCGGAAUUCCUAGUGUAGCGGUGAAAUGCGUAGAUAUUAGGAGGAACAUCAGUGGCGAAGGCGGCUUACUGGGCUUUAACUGACGCUGAGGCUCGAAAGCGUGGGGAGCAAACAGGAUUAGAUACCCUUGUAGUC